RNAcentral lists this ribosomal RNA (250 nucleotides) under uncultured bacterium. Its description in RNAcentral is "partial 16S ribosomal RNA". It matches the Rfam family "Bacterial small subunit ribosomal RNA", at positions 524 to 776 of the family's 1533-position model. The record is from RNAcentral.
UACGGAGGGUGCAAGCGUUAUCCGGAUUCACUGGGUUUAAAGGGUGCGCAGGCGGGCUAUUAAGUCCGUGGUGAAAUCCCGGGGCUCAACCCCGGAACUGCCAUGGAUACUAUUAGUCUUGAAUGUUGUUGAGGUGGCGGAAUAGGUCAUGUAGCGGUGAAUGCAUAGAUAUGACCUAGAACACCGAUUGCGAAGGCAGCUCACUGGACAAUAUUGACGCUCAGGCACGAAAGCGUGGGGAUCAAACAGG